Molecule: transfer RNA, 69 nt
Filed under: Laelia coenosa
Lineage: Eukaryota; Metazoa; Arthropoda; Insecta; Lepidoptera; Erebidae
Also listed under: 1 other name
Description: tRNA-Gln
Source: RNAcentral
UAUAUUUUAGUGUAAGAAGCACAAUAAUUUUUGAUAUUAUUAGAUUUAGUUUAAUUCUAAAAAAUAUAA